GACGAACGCUGGCGGCGUGCUUAACACAUGCAAGUCGAACGGAAAGGCCCCUUUGGGGGUACUCGAGUGGCGAACGGGUGAGUAACACGUGAGUAACCUGCCCUUGACUUCGGGAUAACUUCAGGAAACUGGGGCUAAUACCGGAUAGGAAUCCUUGCUGCAUGGUGGGGGUUGGAAAGCUUCGGCGGUUUUGGAUGGACUCGCGGCUUAUCAGCUUGUUGGUGGGGUAGUGGCUUACCAAGGCUUUGACGGGUAGCCGGCCUGAGAGGGCGACCGGCCACAUUGGGACUGAGAUACGGCACAGACUCCUACGGGAGGCAGCAGUGGGGAAUAUUGCACAAUGGGCGGAAGCCUGAUGCAGAAACGCCGCGUGCGGGAUGACGGCCUUCGGGUUGUAAACCGCUUUCAGCAGGGGCGAAGCUUGUGGUGACGGUACCUGCAGAAGAAGCACCGGCUAACUACGUG
This 465-nucleotide ribosomal RNA is filed under the name uncultured bacterium. RNAcentral describes it as "partial 16S ribosomal RNA". It matches the Rfam family "Bacterial small subunit ribosomal RNA", at positions 28 to 507 of the family's 1533-position model. The record is from RNAcentral.